AGAGUUUGAUCCUGGCUCAGGACGAACGCUGGCGGCGUGCCUAAUACAUGCAAGUAGAACGCUGAAGACUUUAGCUUGCUAGAGUUGGAAGAGUUGCGAACGGGUGAGUAACGCGUAGGUAACCUGCCUAUUAGC
RNAcentral lists this ribosomal RNA (135 nucleotides) under Streptococcus gallolyticus. RNAcentral describes it as "partial 16S ribosomal RNA". It matches the Rfam family "Bacterial small subunit ribosomal RNA", at positions 8 to 137 of the family's 1533-position model. The record is from RNAcentral. Lineage: Bacteria; Bacillati; Bacillota; Bacilli; Lactobacillales; Streptococcaceae.